UACGGAGGGUGCGAGCGUUAAUCGGAAUUACUGGGCGUAAAGCGCAUGCAGGUGGUUCAUUAAGUCAGAUGUGAAAGCCCGGGGCUCAACCUCGGAACCGCAUUUGAAACUGGUGAACUAGAGUGCUGUAGAGGGGGGUAGAAUUUCAGGUGUAGCGGUGAAAUGCGUAGAGAUCUGAAGGAAUACCAGUGGCGAAGGCGGCCCCCUGGACAGACACUGACACUCAGAUGCGAAAGCGUGGGGAGCAAACAGG
Molecule: ribosomal RNA, 253 nt
Filed under: uncultured bacterium
Lineage: Bacteria
Description: partial 16S ribosomal RNA
Rfam family: Bacterial small subunit ribosomal RNA
Source: RNAcentral